This 1094-nucleotide ribosomal RNA is filed under the name Staphylococcus sp. Its description in RNAcentral is "bacterial SSU rRNA". It matches the Rfam family "Bacterial small subunit ribosomal RNA", at positions 45 to 1133 of the family's 1533-position model. Lineage: Bacteria; Bacillati; Bacillota; Bacilli; Caryophanales; Staphylococcaceae. The record is from RNAcentral.
UGCUAUAAUGCAAGUCGAGCGAACAGAUAAGGAGCUUGCUCCUUUGACGUUAGCGGCGGACGGGUGAGUAACACGUGGGUAACCUACCUAUAAGACUGGGAUAACUUCGGGAAACCGGAGCUAAUACCGGAUAAUAUUUCGAACCGCAUGGUUCGAUAGUGAAAGAUGGUUUUGCUAUCACUUAUAGAUGGACCCGCGCCGUAUUAGCUAGUUGGUAAGGUAACGGCUUACCAAGGCGACGAUACGUAGCCGACCUGAGAGGGUGAUCGGCCACACUGGAACUGAGACACGGUCCAGACUCCUACGGGAGGCAGCAGUAGGGAAUCUUCCGCAAUGGGCGAAAGCCUGACGGAGCAACGCCGCGUGAGUGAUGAAGGUCUUCGGAUCGUAAAACUCUGUUAUUAGGGAAGAACAUACGUGUAAGUAACUGUGCACGUCUUGACGGUACCUAAUCAGAAAGCCACGGCUAACUACGUGCCAGCAGCCGCGGUAAUACGUAGGUGGCAAGCGUUAUCCGGAAUUAUUGGGCGUAAAGCGCGCGUAGGCGGUUUUUUAAGUCUGAUGUGAAAGCCCACGGCUCAACCGUGGAGGGUCAUUGGAAACUGGAAAACUUGAGUGCAGAAGAGGAAAGUGGAAUUCCAUGUGUAGCGGUGAAAUGCGCAGAGAUAUGGAGGAACACCAGUGGCGAAGGCGACUUUCUGGUCUGUAACUGACGCUGAUGUGCGAAAGCGUGGGGAUCAAACAGGAUUAGAUACCCUGGUAGUCCACGCCGUAAACGAUGAGUGCUAAGUGUUAGGGGGUUUCCGCCCCUUAGUGCUGCAGCUAACGCAUUAAGCACUCCGCCUGGGGAGUACGACCGCAAGGUUGAAACUCAAAGGAAUUGACGGGGACCCGCACAAGCGGUGGAACAUGUGGUUUAAUUCGAAGCAACGCGAAGAACCUUACCAAUCUUGACAUCCUUUGACAACUCUAAAGAUAAAGCUUCCCCUUCGGGGGACAAAUGACAGGGGUGCAUGGUUGUCCUCACCUCCUGCCUGGAAAUGUUGGUUAAUCCCGCACGAGCCCACCCUUAACCUAAUUGCUUCAUUAAGUGG